ACACGUGCUCCGGGGUCGGUGUAAGUCCGAACCGGCGGUUAUAGUCCGCGACCCGAGGUGCCUCACGGCGCCGAGGUUGAACUGGUGGAAUUCCAGUACCGACAGUUAAAGUCUGGAUGGGAGAAGCACGUAC
This 133-nucleotide non-coding RNA is filed under the name Arthrobacter rhombi. Its description in RNAcentral is "FMN sequence". It matches the Rfam family "FMN riboswitch aptamer (RFN element)". Rfam says of the family: The RFN element is a highly conserved domain that is found frequently in the 5'-untranslated regions of prokaryotic mRNAs that encode for flavin mononucleotide (FMN) biosynthesis and transport proteins. This element is a metabolite-dependent riboswitch that directly binds FMN in the absence of proteins. In Bacillus subtilis, the riboswitch most likely controls gene expression by causing premature transcription termination within the 5' untranslated region of the ribDEAHT operon and precluding access to the ribosome-binding site of ypaA mRNA. The record is from Rfam by way of RNAcentral. Lineage: Bacteria; Bacillati; Actinomycetota; Actinomycetes; Micrococcales; Micrococcaceae.